RNAcentral lists this unclassified non-coding RNA (367 nucleotides) under Hevea brasiliensis (rubber tree). The record is from RNAcentral. Lineage: Eukaryota; Viridiplantae; Streptophyta; Magnoliopsida; Malpighiales; Euphorbiaceae.
AAUUCCAGCUGGAAUAACUGCUCCCGUCAAAACUAACUGCUGCUAACCACUCCAGCACAACUCUAACCACUUCAGACAUACCUAACUGCUUCCAGCUACGAUUCUAACUACUCAAGACAUCCCUAACGGCUUCCCUGAACCUCCUGUACGUGACAAUACCUCCCACAUGAGCACAUUCUUGUCCCAAGGAUUGUGCUAACUCAGGAAAUUGGGCAAGAAGAAAAGAGGUGUCCUCCCUUGUAGCUUCAUCAACUGAAAGUCCCCCACUCUACGAGGGCUUGAGGGACUUGCUGGUGAUUCCUAGCGAUGACUUUGGACUGCAACACCUUUUCUGGAUGCACACAAAUCUUUUCAGCCAAUUCAACAU